This 1244-nucleotide long non-coding RNA is filed under the name Lynx canadensis (Canada lynx). Its description in RNAcentral is "lncRNA (ENSLCNG00005017442.1)". Lineage: Eukaryota; Metazoa; Chordata; Mammalia; Carnivora; Felidae. The record is from RNAcentral.
GCUGCAUGAUUGGGUCCUCUGGCCCCACCAAGCACUUUCAGAAAUUGCUCUGGAUGAGGGAAAGAGGAAGUUUGCCCCAUCCACUCGUGUUGUGAGUUUCCAAGUGACCUAAUUUUCCUGCAGCGGUCCCAAGCUGACCUUCCACAGGUAAGGCUCUUUGUAGAUUUGUACAGUCAUCACCUCCCUCAGGAUCUGUGAUGGGAACGUCCAGUUCCGGUCAGCCGGUGGGCCCGUAAUGCGAGGAGAGGACCCUGAGCCGAUAGUCAAGACCAGCCAUACGGGUAAUCGCUUUCUACUACCAUGCAGAAGCAGGAUGGACUGGAUGGGAUGGUCAGACACAAACUUCAGGAACUCCGAGAUUGUGGGAGCACUGCUCAGAUGUUGCCGAGACCGUGUCACCCAUCGUGUUUCGUUCACAAUAAGUUUCCAGUAUGUGAGUCUGAAAGACCCUCGGCCCUUUCUUCCUGUCAUCUCUGAGCCUCAGCUUCCACAUCUGCAAACUGGAAAUGACACCUUGCUCUUGCUCUCAGGCGUGGGGUGAAAAUCAAGCGUGGUCGUCUUUAUGAAGUGCUCAGCACACAGGAGGUACUGAAGAAAUUAGGACACCGUUUCCAGAAUGUGUCCAUGGGAGCAAAGGAUCAUGGCUUGGUUUAGAUCCUCUUGCCACCUGUGCAGACCCCACUUGCACUUCAUUUCUUGAGCCUUUUGCUGUAAUUUCAGCUACAUUUUGUUUCCUUUCACAGGGCCAGCAACUAUUCUCAGAGGGUCUUGGGCAUCUCUUUGGAAAUGGACCUCUUUAACUCUGCUGUGAUGCCAGGAGGUAGCCCAGCAUCCCAGACCCUGCCUUUCUCUGAGCUGCAUUCUUUCCUGGCGGCCGUGGACGUCUGACAUUGAAGCUGAUGUCACUCCGCGUCAAGUUGGGGCUGGAGGGUGCUUGGUAACUGGCAGUGCCCAAAGGUCUCCUGUCUUUCCUUCUCUGUAUAAAGUUCCUUCUUUUCUGGGCAGGGGUUAAUUUGGUGAAAAUCAGGUGAAGACUUUGACGGUUGGGUGUGAGAGUGUUAAGCGUAAAGACGAAUGGCUCUAAGGUGCAUUCAAAGACCCUCGUGACCUCUAGAGUCAGACACACCUCUGGUUCCUCUAUUGCUUUGUUCGCACCAGUUUUAUCCAGAAGGUGGCAUCGCAGAGCCUGAUGUGCACUCCCCAAAGUCCAAAGGAUCCACAUUUCUUUGUGGUUAGACACUAAC